Molecule: ribosomal RNA, 862 nt
Filed under: uncultured bacterium
Lineage: Bacteria
Description: bacterial SSU rRNA
Rfam family: Bacterial small subunit ribosomal RNA
Source: RNAcentral
UGCAAGUCGAACGGACUUAACCAUUAGUUUACUAUUGGAGCGGUUAGUGGCGGACUGGUGAGUAACACGUAAGCAACCUGCCUAUCAGAGGGGAACAACAGUUAGAAAUGACUGCUAAUACCGCAUAUGCCUAAGUACCACAUGGUACAAUAGGGAAAGGAGCAAUCCGCUGAUAGAUGGGCUUGCGUCUGAUUAGCUAGUUGGUGGGGUAAAGGCCUACCAAGGCGACGAUCAGUAGCCGGACUGAGAGGUUGAACGGCCACAUUGGGACUGAGAUACGGCCCAGACUCCUACGGGAGGCAGCAGUCGGGAAUAUUGCGCAAUGGAGGAAACUCUGACGCAGUGACGCCGCGUGCAGGAAGAAGGUUUUCGGAUUGUAAACUGCUUUAGACAGGGAAGAAACAAGACAGUACCUGUAGAAUAAGCUCCGGCUAACUACGUGCCAGCAGCCGCGGUAAUACGUAGGGAGCGAGCGUUAUCCGGAUUUAUUGGGUGUAAAGGGUGCGUAGACGGGAAGGUAAGUUAGUUGUGAAAUCCCUCGGCUUAACUGAGGAACUGCAACUAAAACUGUCUUUCUUGAGUACUGGAGAGGAAAGUGGAAUUCCUAGUGUAGCGGUGAAAUGCGUAGAUAUUAGGAGGAACACCAGUGGCGAAGGCGACUUUCUGGACAGAAACUGACGUUGAGGCACGAAAGUGUGGGGAGCAAACAGGAUUAGAUACCCUGGUAGUCCACACCGUAAACGAUGGAUACUAGGUGUAGGAGAUAAUAAAUCUUCUGUGCCGCCGCUAACGCAAUAAGUAUCCCACCUGGGGAGUACGGCCGCAAGGUUGAAACUCAAAGGAAUUGACGGGGGCCCGCACA